GGGCCCGUAGCUCAGCCUGGUAGAGCGGCGGGCUUUUAACCCGUAGGUCCCGGGUUCAAAUCCCGGCGGGCCCGCCA
Molecule: transfer RNA, 77 nt
Filed under: Aeropyrum sp.
Lineage: Archaea; Thermoproteati; Thermoproteota; Thermoprotei; Acidilobales; Acidilobaceae
Also listed under: 5 other names
Description: tRNA-Lys
Rfam family: tRNA
About the family: Transfer RNA (tRNA) molecules are approximately 80 nucleotides in length. Their secondary structure includes four short double-helical elements and three loops (D, anti-codon, and T loops).
Source: RNAcentral